RNAcentral lists this transfer RNA (63 nucleotides) under Macroscytus subaeneus. RNAcentral describes it as "tRNA-Arg". The record is from RNAcentral. Lineage: Eukaryota; Metazoa; Arthropoda; Insecta; Hemiptera; Cydnidae.
AAAUAAUGAAGUAAAAUUUACAUUUAGUUUCGACCUAAAAUUAAGGCCUUAGCCUCUUAUUUA